Molecule: long non-coding RNA, 2974 nt
Filed under: Gossypium barbadense (sea-island cotton)
Lineage: Eukaryota; Viridiplantae; Streptophyta; Magnoliopsida; Malvales; Malvaceae
Description: long non-coding RNA (GBAR_LNC011876)
Source: RNAcentral
AUUUUCAACUAGGUUGAUUACAAUGUAGCAUGUUUAGAAGCUACAUGCACUUUAUCCGAAGAUAGUACAACUAAGCAGCCCUGAAACAUUCGUGCUACAGCAUGUAUACACUUCAUCCAGAAAUAUUACAGCAGCAUGUUACGCCAAUUUUCAACAUACUCAAAUAACAUAAACAACACAACAGUGAAGAACAAAAAAACCAGCAGUGAAAUAACAUAAACAAACCAGCUGCAGUAGCAGAAAAACUAUUAGAAAAUUCAGUUUUAAACAUAUAUGUAAUACUUAAAAGAAAGAAAGAAAAAAUAUAUCAGUCACAUCAGCCUCAUACCUCACUGGUGAUCAAAACUGUGUGCCACUCAAAAUCAUUUAGGAAUAACAAUAUCACUGCAAAAUACAUGUUACAAUUACAAUUGUCAAAUUAUCUUACGCCAACAGAAAGGAAGACAGCUACAUAGAAUGCACCUUCUUCUUGAUAUUCUAGAAACAUGUAUCAACCCAGAUAUCUAUUGGAAAGACAUAUACAGACAGGAAACAGGGAUGACAACCAAGGUAGUUAUUCUCUAGCAAAAAGGGGAGAAGACAUUGGUAUGCUGAGGGAAAAAACUGAAGAACAUACUGACAAUGAAAAUGAUAUCAAAAGUAUCAACACGAGAUGGCAAAGUGCUGUAAAGGUGUGCACCUAGCAUUGUGCCUUAGCACUGAACAAAAUAAGUGCCUCAAACCCUUUCAGACGAGACACAUCUUAAAUAGAUACAAGCCGAGUGUGCCUGAUCAUAUUUUUGUAAGGUGGUAUGUGCAAAAAAUCAUGUUAAUUGAAGUUUCGUAUGAUUUCUUCAGUUUUUUUAUUUUUUCAAUAAUUGUGCCUUUAAUGGUUAAGAGGAAAAGAAACUAUCAGACUCUACUUCUCGAUAUUUGAAUAUUUAAUAACAUGGGACCAAAUGGAAAUCAUAGGGCAACUAACAAAGAGUAGGGUAUCAUGAAAAUUUCGCAAGUUGGAAUAGGGAUUAAAAGAACAAAAUUACAUAGCUUACCGCUGCUUGUUGAAGUAGAUGCAAGGAAGGGGGAUCAAUACCCUUUUGAUUGAUAACAACAAAGUCGCUGUCAUUGCCAGCACAAAUCUAGAUUAAGGGUAACCAAAGAAAAUCUAGAAAAAAUCUAAGUUAGCCGGAUGAAAUAUAUAUGCAUAAACCCAAAACAAAUCAUAAACAAAUCGGCAGAAGAAGGAAAAGUAAAAGACUUGGGGGGGUUCCUUACACCGGGGGGGACUGAGUGAUCUGUAAAGAUUCCCGGGGGGGGGAGGGUCUUUUCUUUUAAUUAUUACAAAAAUUUAAAUACUUAAACUAAUUAAUAAUAGAAAAUAAACAUAAGGCAGAUUAAAAAAAAUAGAAUCUAAAUAAUAAUGAAUAAAUUUAAAACAAAUGAUGUGAGAAAGUAGUUCUAAGAAUCAACAAUAUACAACAAUUUAUAAAAUAUUUAAAUGUAUAUAUAUAAGUGUAAAAAUAAUAUUGAAACACUUCAAAAUGAAUAAAUAGAAUCUAAAAUAAAGUGUUUAAAAUAAUUUAACGUAAAAUAAAUCAUAUGAAUGAGACUAACAAUAAAUCAUACGUAACAUAAUAAUAUAUAGAUUAAGUUUUAAAAUAAACCUUGUGCAAGCAAAGAAAUAGUAUACAAAACAAUAUAUAUCAACAUGUCAAUCUAAAUAGAUAAUAAACGUAAAACACAAAUAAUUUAAUAUAAAUAACAUAAAUAAUAAUAUAAAGUACAAGUAAUUUAAUAGUGAUAGUAGUUUAAUAAUAUUCAUCACACAAAUCUUCACAGCAAAGAAUAUAUAUAAAAGAAAAUUUUAAUUAAAUAAACUACAUAAUAAAACAAUUCAAAAAUGUACAAAAGAAAAUAAUAAAAAGAAACUAAAGCAAUGUGAGAUCAAUAAAAUAAUAUGCUAUGAAUAAUAUAUUAAAAUAAUGAAUAAUAAGUAAUUCAUAAAAAAUACAAAAAUAUAAAUUAAAUAAAAACUUAAUUAGAAUAAAAACAAAAUUAGAAGAAUAAUUUAUAAAUAAAUCAAAUUAUUAAAACAGAAUCAAGGACCUGAAUUAAAUGCGCACAAACAAACAAACAGGGGCUAAAAAUGCAAAUAUCCCGAGUCCCAAAACGGGAAACGAUGCCGUUUUAUCUAUAUAUAUAAACUAAAAAUUGCCUUAAAAAAUCAUUUUUGCAGAUUGUUUUCUCAAAAGAUUUUUCAAAACCCUCUUAACCUCUCCCUCUUUAGUCGACUUGUGGCUUCACCAGCGCCUAAUGCACCUCCACCAUCGUCAUGGUUUUAACCAGAUCCACAAGGAUCCAUCAACCCUUGGACUGGAGGAGCAAAAGAUGACUCAAUCGACACCAAACCACCAGUAGUUAAACCCUUCCCCUUUUUUAGAUUCGUCAAAUAGAUUCAAAAUAAAGUAAAAAACAAAAAAAUAAGAACAGAGAAAUAAUCCGUGAAUCACCUUUUGUAGACCAUUUUUGAAUUGAUUUCUAUUCUUUCAAUAUAUGCGUGUGUAAUACAAUUUUUAUUUUAUUUCAAAAAAAAACCCCCCAAAUACAUUAGUCUUUCGUGCUUUUAUAGCCGAAAGUGUUACAAAAAUAUUUUGCUUUUCUUUGUUACUGCUUGUUGUUUUUGCUCGUUCUCUUUUUGCUGUUUGCAGGCACUGACGGAAGUGAUGGGACAGGCCCUAGCCAGGGGUGGUCAGGCGUUGAACGCGCUGACACCACGUGGGGAACGGUGCGGCGCAAAGGUGGAAGACCCUAGGGUUUUUUUGAAAAUGUUAACAUUCUGGGCCAUAGAAUUGGGCAUUAAGUUUUUGUUUUGGGCUGAUGGGGUUGUAAUAUUUGGACGGUUAAUAUUGGACUUUUAUUUUGUUUUUUUGGUUUCUAAUGGGCCGGGCAAAAUAGGCCUCUUACAGUGACUUUUUAUAAUAAUAAUUAUUAUUAU